UUAAAUAUUUAUGAGCUUAUGUUGGAUUCCUUGGAACUCAGUGACGAUGAAGGGCGUAGUUACUAGCGAUAUUCUUCGGGGAACUAGAAACAAGUUUUGAUCCGAAGGUUCCCGAAUGGGGCAACCUGUUGAACUUCCAUAGAAUUUAUAUGUGGAAUGUAGUUAACCUGGUGAACUGAAACAUCUUAGUAGCCAGAGGAAAAGAAAGCAAUAGCGAUUUUCUUAUUAGCGGCGAGUUAAAGGAAAAGAGCCUAAACCUUUAUAGGGGUAGUGGGAAUCUUUACUUAUUCAAAUUUAGAAUAUGAAUUUGUUGAAAGCAAAACAAGAAAAGGUUGGAAGUCCUGUAGUUUUCUUACUUUGAGUAUUUUGAUUUUCCCGAGUAGCAUAGAGCACGUGGAAUUCUGUGUGAAUCAGCGAGGACCAUCUCGUAAGGCUAAAUAUUAUUGAGUUACCGAUAGUGAACAAGUACCGCGAGGGAAAGGUGAAAUAGAACCUUGAGAAGGGAGUGAAAUAGAAAAUGAAAGCAUAAGUUCACAUGCAAUAGAAAAGCUUUUAAGCUUAACUGUGUGCCUGUUGAAGAAUGAGCCGGCGACUUAUAGGCAUUGGCAUGGUUAAAAUUUAAAUUUGGAGCCUUAGCGAAAGCGAGUUUUAAUAGAGCGUUUUGUCAUUGUUUAUAGACCCGAAACCGAGUGAUCUAACUAAGACCAGGGUGAAGCUUAGGUAAAACUAAGUGGAGGCCCGAACUCACCAAUGUUGAAAAAUUGGGAGAUGAGUUUUAGUUAGUGGAGAAAUUCUAGUCGAACUCGGAGCUAGCUGGAUCUCUCCGAAAUGCGUUGAGGCGCAGCGAUCAAUUACGAUCUGUUCAGUGGUAAAGCACUGUUUCGAUGAGGGCUGCGAAAGUAGUACCGAGUUGUAGCAAACUAAGAAUACUGUACAAUGUUUUUCAAUUGGUCAGUGAGACUGUGGGGGAUAAGCUUCAUAGUCAAAAGGGAAACAGCCCAGAUCACCAGUUAAGGCCCCUAAAUAUUUGCUAAGUGACAAAGGAUGUAAAUGGACGUAGACAAUCAGGAGGUUUGCUUAGAAGCAGCCAAUUUCCUUUAAAAAGUGCGUAAUAGCUUACUGAUCAAGUCCAUUUGCGCCGAUAAUGUAUGGGACUAAGCAUUUUGCCGAAGCUGUGAGUUUUACGGUAGGAGAGCGUUCUGUUUGGCUUGAAGUAAUGGUGGAAACCUUUAUGGACUUAACAGAAGUGAGAAUGUCGGCUUAAGUAACGAAAACACUGGUGGGAAUCCAGUGCUCCGAAAGCCAAAAAUUUCCUUUGCAAGGUUCGUCCGCAAAGGGUUAGUCAGGUCCUAAAACGAGGCUUACCAGCGUAGUUGAUGGGAAACAGGUUAAUAUUCCUGUACUGCAACUGGUUUGGUUAAGGGUGACGAAAACGGUUAGGGUUAGCCAACAGUUGGUGUUUGGUUUAAGUUUUCAAGGUGUUGAGAAGCAGGGAGUCUGUUUUGAGCUGAGAAGCGAAUAUUUUUUUACUAAGGUAAAGAAAUAACCUGAGUCAUGUUUCCUAGAAAAGCCCUAAUAAUUUCAUUUAAUCAGGAUGCACCUGUAUUUUAAACUGACACAGGUUGGUGGGUAGAGUAUACUAAGGAGAGCGAGAUAACCCUUUUUAAGGAACUCGGCAAAAUGGCCUUGUAACUUCGGGAGAAAAGGUGCCCUGGUUUAUACCAGGGUUGCAGCGAUCAGAUCCAGGCGACUGUUUAUCAAAAACACAGGUCUCCGCAAAGUUGAAAAACUAUGUAUGGGGGCUGACGCCUGCCCAGUGCCGGAAGGUGAAGGAAACUUGUUAGCUUUUAGCAAAGCUCGUGACUUAAGCCCCGGUGAACGGCGGCAGUAACUAUAACUGUCCUAAGGUAGCGAAAUUCCUUGUCGGGUAAGUUCCGACCUGCACGAAAGGCGUAACGAUCUGGAUACUGUCUCAAAAAGGGACUCGGUGAAAUAGAAUUAACUGUGAAGAUGCGGUUAACUUACACUUGGACAGAAAGACCCUAUGAAGCUUUACUGUAGUUUGAAAUUGAUUUUCGACUUUUCUUGCGCAGAAUAGGUGGGAGGCUUCGAUCGAUUUUUUUCGGAGAAUCGUGAGCCAUCAGUGAGAUACCACUCUAGAAAAGUUAAAAAUCUAAUUACGUUUCAUUAUAUGGACGUUUGACCAUUUCAGAUGGGCAGUUUUACUGGGGCGGUAGCCUCCUAAAAGGUAACGGAGGCGUACAAAGGUUUUCUCAAACUGGUCGGAAAUUAGUUUUGGAGUGCAAAGACAUAAGAAAGCUUAACUGUUAGACUUAUAAGUCAAGCAGUGACGAAAGUCGGUCUUAGUGAUCCGACGUUACUUAAUGGGAAGGACGUCGCUCAACAGAUAAAAGUUACUCUAGGGAUAACAGGCUGAUCUCCCCCAAGAGUUCACAUCGACGGGGAGGUUUGGCACCUCGAUGUCGGCUCAUCGCAACCUGGAGCGGUAGUACGUUCCAAGGGUUGGGCUGUUCGCCCAUGAAAGCGGUACGUGAGCUGGGUUCAGAACGUCGAGAGACAGUUCGGUCCAUAUCCGGUGUAAGCGUUGGAGUAUUGAAAGGAACUUUUUCUAGUACGAGAGGACCGAAAAGGACACACCAAUGGUGUGCCAGUUCUUGUGCCAACAGGAAAUGCUGGGUAGCUAUGUGUGAAGUGGAUAACUGCUGAAAGCAUAUAAGCAGGAAGCCCACCUUAAGAUGAGUACUCCUUAUUAUAAGAUUACGAUCAGAUUAAUCGUUAAUAGGUAUCCGGUAUAAUGUUGAGUAAUCACAUAAGCUAAGAUAUACUAAUAAAUCGAGAGUUUCAUCUU
This 2869-nucleotide ribosomal RNA is filed under the name Lepocinclis ovum. RNAcentral describes it as "bacterial LSU rRNA". It matches the Rfam family "Bacterial large subunit ribosomal RNA". Lineage: Eukaryota; Euglenozoa; Euglenophyceae; Euglenales; Phacaceae. The record is from RNAcentral.